This 510-nucleotide ribosomal RNA is filed under the name bacterium SNB-CN7. RNAcentral describes it as "bacterial SSU rRNA". It matches the Rfam family "Bacterial small subunit ribosomal RNA", at positions 37 to 529 of the family's 1533-position model. The record is from RNAcentral.
UGGCGGCGUGCCUAAUAMUGCAAGUUGAGCGCUGAAGGUUGGUACUUGUACCGACUGGAUGAGCAGCGAACGGGUGAGUAACGCGUGGGGAAUCUGCCUUUGAGCGGGGGACAACAUUUGGAAACGAAUGCUAAUACCGCAUAAAAACUUUAAACACAAGUUUUAAGUUUGAAAGAUGCAAUUGCAUCACUCAAAGAUGAUCCCGCGUUGUAUUAGCUAGUUGGUGAGGUAAAGGCUCACCAAGGCGAUGAUACAUAGCCGACCUGAGAGGGUGAUCGGCCACAUUGGGACUGAGACACGGCCCAAACUCCUACGGGAGGCAGCAGUAGGGAAUCUUCGGCAAUGGACGAAAGUCUGACCGAGCAACGCCGCGUGAGUGAAGAAGGUUUUCGGAUCGUAAAACUCUGUUGGUAGAGAAGAACGUUGGUGAGAGUGGAAAGCUCAUCAAGUGACGGUAACUACCCAGAARGGGACGGCUAACUACGUGCCAGCAGCCGCGGGUAAUACAAA